This 258-nucleotide long non-coding RNA is filed under the name Musa acuminata (dwarf banana). Its description in RNAcentral is "long non-coding RNA (MACU_LNC001183)". Lineage: Eukaryota; Viridiplantae; Streptophyta; Magnoliopsida; Zingiberales; Musaceae. The record is from RNAcentral.
AAAUAAAAGAUCAGAAACCACGUUCAUCGGCCGGAAAGAACGGAGAGAACACACAUCUUCAGAGAAGUAAGACCGGGAGAAAAACAAAAAGCAAAUGCAACGCCAUCCGAGAAGGCCGAAAUUAUUUGAUUUAGAGAAGCGAGAAAAAGUAACUAUUGAUGCGAGAUUACGGAUGUACCGAUCUAGGGAUGCGUGAUCGAUCUCUCUCCGCGAUUGGAGCACUCCACGCCUCAGCUUGGAAGAGGGAGAGAAAGGAGG